AAGUCGUAACAAGGUUCCCGUAGGUGAACCUGCGGAAGGAUCAUUACCGUUGCAUCAAUGGGCGGGUUUUCUUAAUUGAAGCCCGCCUCCUUGACGUUACCCAUGCCUUUUUGCGUACAGUUUGUUUUCCCGGCAGGGCAUUUAUGCCCCUAACGGAUAUCAAUCCACCCUUGUAUUUGCGGUCCAUGUCUGAAAAUUAUAAUAAUUACAA
Molecule: unclassified non-coding RNA, 211 nt
Filed under: plant metagenome
Description: partial contains small subunit ribosomal RNA and internal transcribed spacer 1
Rfam family: Eukaryotic small subunit ribosomal RNA (bases 1-46)
Source: RNAcentral